Non-coding RNA from Myotis lucifugus (little brown bat), 74 nucleotides. NCBI's taxonomy places the organism in Eukaryota, Metazoa, Chordata, Mammalia, Chiroptera, Vespertilionidae. The record is from Rfam.
GCCAGUGUCGCUCAGUGGUUAGAGUGUUGGCCUUCGCACCAGAGGGUCACGGGUUCAAUUCCUGGUCAAGGGCA